RNAcentral lists this long non-coding RNA (1084 nucleotides) under Gouania willdenowi (blunt-snouted clingfish). RNAcentral's name for it is "lncRNA (ENSGWIG00000023025.1)". The record is from RNAcentral. Lineage: Eukaryota; Metazoa; Chordata; Actinopteri; Blenniiformes; Gobiesocidae.
GGGGUGGCUGCUGCCCGGGGUCGGCGAUUGCCUCCUGGGUUGCUGGGUGGCGGGGUGUGGCUGUGGGUUGCUCCGUCGGCCCUUGCGGGUCCUUGGCUUGGCUCCCUGGGGCGCACCUUUGCUAGGGAUGUCGCUUGCGCGACGAGCUAGGCGGGGCCCCCUCGGGGGCUUUUUGUACGACCGCAAUGGCCGGGGUGUGGACGUUAUGGCUAGGGGGUGGGGUGAGGGGUGCUAUGGGGCCUCCCCGGGGGUCGUAUUGGGCGGGUGUGCGGGGGCGCGGCGCGUGGUUCCUGGCCCGGUGGAUCCGCGUUGGGAUUGGCUGGUCUGCUGGCUGGGUGCACCGGGCGCCGUGGGCGCGAUUCCGGGGCGGGGGUGCCCCGGGGGCGGAUCCUUGGGCUACGUGUCCGGGGAGGUGCUCUCCGGCCAUCUGCCCGGGGACCGGCCGCGGCUCGUGGCGGCGCUGCGCAGCCUUGGGCGGGGCGGGGCUGGUGGCCUUGGGCCCGCUGUUGUUUGGGGUGUGCUGGCGUCGGGGGGGUGUCUCGUGCCGGUGCGUGGGUCGUCGGGGAUUGCCUCCGUGGGGGGGGGGGGGCUCUAUUGGCGCCGUUGGUGUGGGGGGGCGGUUCCGGGCUGGGGGUGCUUCGGUACUCUGGCUUGCCGGUCCGUGGCUGGCGGGAUGGCCCUGCUUGGCGGUGGAUGGCGUCCUCUCUCGUCGGGGGGGCCGGGGCCGCCUCCCGGUGGAGAGUGUUGUAUCGUGGCGCCGGGUGGGCCUGUGCUGGCCCUGGUGCGGGCAUGGGCCUCCCCCCCGCUCGGCCGCUCCCCUUGGUGGCGGGGUGGCGUUGCUCCGGGCCGGCGGGCGGCGGGGGUCGCCCCCUGGGGCGCCGGGGGAUGUUGUUGGUGCCUGGCUGUGCCCGGGGGUGGGGGGUGUCGCCGUGCUCCGCGGGGCCGGCGUGGUCUGGGGGGUGCCGUGGGGGGGGGGUCUCCGGCUGUGCUGUUCCGGGGCCCGCAGUGCCACUUGCCCGUCUGCGCCAUCUACCCUCUCGCGUGGCCCGCCACGCGGACGGGCCCGGCUCACACUGGACAGGCC